RNAcentral lists this ribosomal RNA (253 nucleotides) under uncultured bacterium. RNAcentral describes it as "partial 16S ribosomal RNA". It matches the Rfam family "Bacterial small subunit ribosomal RNA", at positions 524 to 776 of the family's 1533-position model. The record is from RNAcentral.
UACGGAGGGGGCAAGCGUUAUUCGGAAUCAUUGGGCGUAAAGGGCGCGUAGGCGGCUUGGCAAGUCAAAGGUGAAAUCCCUCGGCCUAACCGAGGAACUGCCUUUGAUACUGCUUCGCUUGAGGCCGGGAGAGGGUAGCGGAAUUCCCAGUGUAGCGGUGAAAUGCGUAGAUAUUGGGAGGAACACCAGUGGCGAAGGCGGCUACCUGGACCGGUUCUGACGCUGAUGCGCGAAAGCGUGGGGAGCGAACAGG